GGGUUGUGAGGUUAAGCGACUAAGCGUACACGGUGGAUGCCCUGGCAGUCAGAGGCGAUGAAGGACGUGCUAAUCUGCGAUAAGCGCCGGUAAGGUGAUAUGAACCGUUAUAACCGGCGAUUUCCGAAUGGGGAAACCCAGUGUGAUUCGUCACACUAUCAUUAACUGAAUCCAUAGGUUAAUGAGGCGAACCGGGGGAACUGAAACAUCUAAGUACCCCGAGGAAAAGAAAUCAACCGAGAUUCCCCCAGUAGCGGCGAGCGAACGGGGAGGAGCCCAGAGCCUGAAUCAGCAUGUGUGUUAGUGGAAGCGUCUGGAAAGGCGCGCGAUACAGGGUGACAGCCCCGUACACAAAAGCGCAUGUGCUGUGAGCUCGAUGAGUAGGGCGGGACACGUGGUAUCCUGUCUGAAUAUGGGGGGACCAUCCUCCAAGGCUAAAUACUCCUGACUGACCGAUAGUGAACCAGUACCGUGAGGGAAAGGCGAAAAGAACCCCGGCGAGGGGAGUGAAAAAGAACCUGAAACCGUGUACGUACAAGCAGUGGGAGCCCCACCACCAAAGCAUUCUCUGGUGUUGAAGGCCCUGCAAAGCAGCAUCGCGGUGGCGGAGCGUCGUUUGCGACGCCCAACACACAAAACAAGCGGUGAGUGCUUUGGGGUGGGGUGACUGCGUACCUUUUGUAUAAUGGGUCAGCGACUUAUAUUCUGUAGCAAGGUUAACCGAAUAGGGGAGCCGUAGGGAAACCGAGUCUUAACCGGGCGUUAAGUUGCAGGGUAUAGACCCGAAACCCGGUGAUCUAGCCAUGGGCAGGUUGAAGGUUGGGUAACACUAACUGGAGGACCGAACCGACUAAUGUUGAAAAAUUAGCGGAUGACCUGUGGCUGGGGGUGAAAGGCCAAUCAAACCGGGAGAUAGCUGGUUCUCCCCGAAAGCUAUUUAGGUAGCGCCUCGUGAAUUCAUCUCCGGGGUAGAGCACUGUUUCGGCUAGGGGGCCAUCCCGGCUUACCAACCCGAUGCAAACUGCGAAUACCGGAGAAUGUUAUCACGGGAGACACACGGCGGGUGCUAACGUCCGUCGUGAAGAGGGAAACAACCCAGACCGCCAGCUAAGGUCCCAAAGUCAUGGUUAAGUGGGAAACGAUGUGGGAAGGCCCAGACAGCCAGGAUGUUGGCUUAGAAGCAGCCAUCAUUUAAAGAAAGCGUAAUAGCUCACUGGUCGAGUCGGCCUGCGCGGAAGAUGUAACGGGGCUAAACCAUGCACCGAAGCUGCGGCAGCGACGCUGAUGCGUUGUUGGGUAGGGGAGCGUUCUGUAAGCCUGUGAAGGUGGCCUGUGAGGGUUGCUGGAGGUAUCAGAAGUGCGAAUGCUGACAUAAGUAACGAUAAAGCGGGUGAAAAGCCCGCUCGCCGGAAGACCAAGGGUUCCUGUCCAACGUUAAUCGGGGCAGGGUGAGUCGACCCCUAAGGCGAGGCCGAAAGGCGUAGUCGAUGGGAAACGGGUUAAUAUUCCCGUACUUGGUGUUACUGCGAAGGGGGGACGGAGAAGGCUAUGUUGGCCGGGCGACGGUUGUCCCGGUUUAAGCGUGUAGGUGUGUGUUCCAGGUAAAUCCGGUUCACUUUAACACUGAGGCGUGAUGACGAGGCACUACGGUGCUGAAGCAACAAAUGCCCUGCUUCCAGGAAAAGCCUCUAAGCAUCAGGUAACAUCAAAUCGUACCCCAAACCGACACAGGUGGUCAGGUAGAGAAUACCAAGGCGCUUGAGAGAACUCGGGUGAAGGAACUAGGCAAAAUGGUGCCGUAACUUCGGGAGAAGGCACGCUGACACGUAGGUGAAGUGAUUUACUCAUGGAGCUGAAGUCAGUCGAAGAUACCAGCUGGCUGCAACUGUUUAUUAAAAACACAGCACUGUGCAAACACGAAAGUGGACGUAUACGGUGUGACGCCUGCCCGGUGCCGGAAGGUUAAUUGAUGGGGUCAGCGCAAGCGAAGCUCCUGAUCGAAGCCCCGGUAAACGGCGGCCGUAACUAUAACGGUCCUAAGGUAGCGAAAUUCCUUGUCGGGUAAGUUCCGACCUGCACGAAUGGCGUAAUGAUGGCCAGGCUGUCUCCACCCGAGACUCAGUGAAAUUGAACUCGCUGUGAAGAUGCAGUGUACCCGCGGCAAGACGGAAAGACCCCGUGAACCUUUACUAUAGCUUGACACUGAACAUUGAGCCUUGAUGUGUAGGAUAGGUGGGAGGCUUUGAAGCGUGGACGCCAGUCUGCAUGGAGCCGGCCUUGAAAUACCACCCUUUAAUGUUUGAUGUUCUAACGUGGACCCGUGAUCCGGGUUGCGGACAGUGUCUGGUGGGUAGUUUGACUGGGGCGGUCUCCUCCUAAAGAGUAACGGAGGAGCACGAAGGUUGGCUAAUCCUGGUCGGACAUCAGGAGGUUAGUGCAAUGGCAUAAGCCAGCUUGACUGCGAGCGUGACGGCGCGAGCAGGUGCGAAAGCAGGUCAUAGUGAUCCGGUGGUUCUGAAUGGAAGGGCCAUCGCUCAACGGAUAAAAGGUACUCCGGGGAUAACAGGCUGAUACCGCCCAAGAGUUCAUAUCGACGGCGGUGUUUGGCACCUCGAUGUCGGCUCAUCACAUCCUGGGGCUGAAGUAGGUCCCAAGGGUAUGGCUGUUCGCCAUUUAAAGUGGUACGCGAGCUGGGUUUAGAACGUCGUGAGACAGUUCGGUCCCUAUCUGCCGUGGGCGCUGGAGAACUGAGGGGGGCUGCUCCUAGUACGAGAGGACCGGAGUGGACGCAUCACUGGUGUUCGGGUUGUCAUGCCAAUGGCACUGCCCGGUAGCUAAAUGCGGAAGAGAUAAGUGCUGAAAGCAUCUAAGCACGAAACUUGCCCCGAGAUGAGUUCUCCCUGAGACUUAGAGUCUCCUGAAGGAACGUUGAAGACGACGACGUUGAUAGGCCGGGUGUGUAAGCGCAGCGAUGCGUUGAGCUAACCGGUACUAAUGAACCGUGAGGCUUAACCUUACAACGCCGAAG
Molecule: ribosomal RNA, 3028 nt
Filed under: Salmonella enterica subsp. enterica serovar Typhimurium
Lineage: Bacteria; Pseudomonadati; Pseudomonadota; Gammaproteobacteria; Enterobacterales; Enterobacteriaceae
Description: 23S ribosomal RNA
Rfam family: Bacterial large subunit ribosomal RNA
Source: RNAcentral